CAAAAAGUAGCUUACUAAGCACUCAGCUUACACCUGAAAGAAGCCCUUCCACGGGCCUUUUUGC
Molecule: transfer RNA, 64 nt
Filed under: Bipes tridactylus
Lineage: Eukaryota; Metazoa; Chordata; Lepidosauria; Squamata; Bipedidae
Description: tRNA-Val
Source: RNAcentral